GUUGUAAUUUGCAGAGGAUGCUUUUGGCGCGGUGCCUUCCGAGUUCCCUGGAACGGGACGCCAUAGAGGGUGAGAGCCCCGUCUGGUCGGACACCAAGCCAGUGUAAAGCUCCUUCGACGAGUCGAGUAGUUUGGGAAUGCUGCUCUAAAUGGGAGGUAUAUGUCUUCUAAAGCUAAAUACCGGCCAGAGACCGAUAGCGCACAAGUAGAGUGAUCGAAAGAUGAAAAGCACUUUGAAAAGAGGGUUAAACAUUUCGUGAAAUUGUUGAAAGGGAAGCGUUUAUGACCAGACUUGUUCCCGGGGAAUCAUCCCCCGUUCUCGCUGGUGCACUUUGCCGGUGUCAGGCCAGCAUCAGUUCGCCGCGGGGGAUAAAGGCUUCGG
RNAcentral lists this ribosomal RNA (382 nucleotides) under soil fungal sp. DM109. RNAcentral describes it as "eukaryotic LSU rRNA". It matches the Rfam family "Eukaryotic large subunit ribosomal RNA", at positions 142 to 531 of the family's 3401-position model. Lineage: Eukaryota; Fungi. The record is from RNAcentral.